GACGAACGCUGGCGGCGUGCUUAACACAUGCAAGUCGAACGGAAAGGCCCUGCUUUUGUGGGGUGCUCGAGUGGCGAACGGGUGAGUAACACGUGAGUAACCUGCCCUUGACUUUGGGAUAACUUCAGGAAACUGGGGCUAAUACCGGAUAGGAGCUCCUGCUGCAUGGUGGGGGUUGGAAAGUUUCGGUGGUUGGGGAUGGACUCGCGGCUUAUCAGCUUGUUGGUGGGGUAGUGGCUUACCAAGGCUUUGACGGGUAGCCGGCCUGAGAGGGCGACCGGCCACAUUGGGACUGAGCUACGGCCCAGACUCCUACGGGAGGCAGCAGUGGGGAGUAUUGCACAAUGGGCGGGAGCCUGAUGCAGCAACGCCGCGUGCGGGAUGACGGCCUUCGGGCUGUAAACCACUUUCGCCUGUGACGAAGCGUGAGUGACGGUAAUGGGUAAAGAAGCACCGGCUAACUACGUG
RNAcentral lists this ribosomal RNA (468 nucleotides) under uncultured bacterium. Its description in RNAcentral is "partial 16S ribosomal RNA". It matches the Rfam family "Bacterial small subunit ribosomal RNA", at positions 28 to 507 of the family's 1533-position model. The record is from RNAcentral.